UACGGAGGGUGCGAGCGUUAAUCGGAAUUACUGGGCGUAAAGCGCACGUAGGCGGUUUGUUAAGCGGUCUGUGAAAGCCCCGGGCUUAACCUGGGAACUGCAGGCCGAACUGACAAGCUAGAGUACAGUAGAGGAGAGUGGAAUUCCCGGUGUAGCGGUGAAAUGCGUAGAUAUCGGGAGGAACAUCAGUGGCGAAGGCGGCUCUCUGGACUGAUACUGACGCUGAGGUGCGAAAGCGUGGGUAGCGAAC
This 250-nucleotide ribosomal RNA is filed under the name uncultured bacterium. RNAcentral's name for it is "partial 16S ribosomal RNA". It matches the Rfam family "Bacterial small subunit ribosomal RNA", at positions 524 to 773 of the family's 1533-position model. The record is from RNAcentral.